RNAcentral lists this transfer RNA (72 nucleotides) under Lepisosteus oculatus (spotted gar). It matches the Rfam family "tRNA". From Rfam's summary of the family: Transfer RNA (tRNA) molecules are approximately 80 nucleotides in length. Their secondary structure includes four short double-helical elements and three loops (D, anti-codon, and T loops). Further hydrogen bonds mediate the characteristic L-shaped molecular structure. tRNAs have two regions of fundamental functional importance: the anti-codon, which is responsible for specific mRNA codon recognition, and the 3' end, to which the tRNAs corresponding amino acid is attached (by aminoacyl-tRNA synthetases). tRNAs cope with the degeneracy of the genetic code in two manners: having more than one tRNA (with a specific anti-codon) for a particular amino acid; and 'wobble' base-pairing, i.e. permitting non-standard base-pairing at the 3rd anti-codon position. Lineage: Eukaryota; Metazoa; Chordata; Actinopteri; Semionotiformes; Lepisosteidae. The record is from Rfam by way of RNAcentral.
UCAUUGGUGGUUCAGUGGUAGAAUUCUUGCCUGCCAUGUGAGAGGCAAGGGGUUUGAUUCCUGGCCAAUGAA